UAAUAUGGGCUUUAUUUGAGGUCCCACAUAUCAGCAACCAAUUGAAUCUAUAACGUGUUUUCUCAAAUCAAUUGCCUUAUUUUCCUCAGACCAUUGUUGCAUUCCAAAUUCACAUCCCAUACAACAUACUUUCUGUAUCCAUUUUACUCUCACAACAUUUUUUCUUCAAUUUAGUAAACAGGAGAAUUGCUUUCAUAUUAACUCUCCCGUAAAUCAUCUCCUCAAUUUGAAUUUGAAUUUUUAAUGAAGUAAAUUGAUAGAGUUCCCAUAUAUAGGCUCUAUUUUCGAGUCGUUAAUCUCUGUUGAUACGUGAGAUCCCAAUUUUUGUGGAACAAAAUGAAUUCCAUAUUGAAAUCACUCUAUAAAUUCGAUUACUGUUCUGGCUAUUAUUCACACCUUGGUUUUCUUCUUCAAUUCAUUUGUCAUCCAGGUUUCUUCUUUAAUCUGAUGUUCUUAAUUUUUAUUAAUUGUAUUCGAUUUUUUAUUAUCAUGAAUGUGUGGUGUAUCUGAUUGCCUUCUUAACCUUGCAUUUGAUGUUGCACUCUAUGUGUUUGAUAAAAUGCCCAUGAGAUAUGUCUUAUCAAAUACUAUUACACACUAUUGUCUGUAUUUUUGUGCUACUUACCACAUGUGUGUGUGUGUGUGUGUUUGUGAUUCCUAACUUUCCUGCAUUUUGUUUGGGUUAAAUCAUAAACUUGGUUAGCUUACUCAUCCGGGAAGAAAAGGAAGAUCAACUAUUUCAUAAAAAAAAGUAGUUGAUAUCUUGGAUAUUGUAUCUAUAUCAGCAUGUCUAUUUUUGAGCAAACCAUGGGUUUUCACUCUCAUUUAGUUUCUUUAUGCUAUAGUUAUAUGGUAAGAAAAGUGAUUAUGCUAAUAUUAACAUGUUGGUUGUUUGUGUGAUAGCUUGAACUUAUCUUUGGUAGGUAUUAUAUGUCAACUGAACCAAAUGUAGUGAAGGAUUGGGCUGUAUUUUAAGUCUUAAAGGAAUUUUCAGCCCUUUUUCUUUUUUGAACAGUUGUAAGAUAAAGGGUUAUUUGUUACUUCUAAAUAGAAAGGUACUUUCAACAAUAAUCUUUAGUCCAAAUAUCAAAUUGAAGAAAUGACUUUUUAUGUGAUUUUAGGUCAAAAAGUUCAUUUACUCUUUGCUACUUAGAGAUAGAUCAUUUGCGCUUAUUGGAUUAAAAUUUUGAUUUUUGACUUUAGAAAUACCAAGUUUCUGGACAUAACAGCUUAUGUGCAUGGCUAUAAGUAAUAUGGAGACACAAUAGGGUGGGGAAAAGUACACAAGGCCCAAAACUAUAGCAACAUAGUUUUCUUUUUUUACCUGAUCGUUAUAUAGUUUUCUUGAUGAACGUUUUUACAAGCACAUUGUCAAAAAUAAAGAGAAAUUUAUUUCCAAAUGUAAUGAGUUUAGUUCAAACCCUAUUUUAUUUCAAAAAGAGAAGAGAUAGUUGGUUGUUUUUUUAUUGCUUCUGUUUUCUUUUGGUUGAAAGUAUCAAGAAUUCAUUUUUAUAGUGUAUUUGUUAUAAGAAUGUGUUUGCUUUCAUAAUUUUUUCUUUAACAUGUUUUUCAGAUAGACACUCAAGGGAAAAAUGUAAUGAGUGCUUCAUCUUCUUGGGUGCCUAAGAAUGAGCUUCUACAGAUUUAAAUAUUCAUUGAUAGUAAUAUGGGAGAAUAAGACCAAAAGACCAAACCCGAUGUUUCUAUUAAGUAAGGUUAAUAUUUACCAUCUCAAGUUUUUCCCAUUUUUAUAAUAUGAGAACAGAUUGAUAAAUUACAUAAAUUUUUCAUAAUUUUGGUAUUUUCUCUAACCAUUUCAUAGGAGAUAAGUUAUUUAUUCAUACUUUUAUGAUUUUAGGGUUUUCUUUCACGAUUUAAAAAGAAACAAUUUGAAAUAAAAGUUUGAUAGAUGAUAUGUGUGUAAACUGUGGUUGUUUUGUGUAUGAAUUUGCAUUCCUGGAUUAGUUUUCUUAAAUUUCUUAUAUUAAUUUCUAAGAAAUAGAAUUUUAUAACGUUAGCAUGUUCAUCCUUCUUUUUUGUGACCUUUUUGGUCAUUUUCUCAUUCUUAUAUAUAUAUAUGAUUCAUAAUUUUGGCAUUCUUAAGCUAAAAAAUACUAAUAUGAAACUUUUAAAAUUAAAAGUUUGAUUUUUUUGAGUUUUUUAGUCAAGAUGACCAUUUUGACCUUUUUGUCCAAUUUGGUCAUUUUUACCGGUUUUAUUUUUUUAAAAUUUUUUUUCGUAAUAUGGUCAUUUUUGCUGAAAAUAGUCAUUUUGAUCAUUUUGCUUAAUCUGAUCAUUUUGACCAUUUCGGUCAAUUUGAUCAUUUUUUAUACAGGGACCAUUAAUGUCUAUUUUGUUAAACAUGGGCUAUUUAUACAAUAUUUUUAUAUACGGACCAUUUUUUUUAAAUUUAUUUAAAUAGGGAUUAUUCCUGUAGUUAAAUAUAUUUAAAACAGGUAAUAAUUACUUUCAUUUUUUAAGUUUAGCAAUGUACUUUUUAUAAUAAAAAGUAUGAUGUUAUAUUAGAGAUAAAACUGAAAUAUGUUGCUAUAUAUUGCAUUUAGCACAUGACCGAUUUGUCGUUUCUAUGAGAUACUAUGCCAAUAACACAAGUUUUUUUUUUUUUUUUUUUUUGGUUAGGUUCCUAAAGAACAUGUACAGAGGAGGAAAAUGACUCAAAUCGAUGUUUGCUUUGGUUAUACACCAAGUCAAGCUACCAUUUUAUAUAAUCUAAAUUAAAUUGAUUUAGACUUUAUUUUUUUUAGAGUAAGUUUAUUAAAAUUUCUUAAAAAAGACAACUCGUAAAUUACAUUCUAUAUGAAUUUUUAAACUUUUGUAGUAAUGGAACUAAAUGAUGCUUCUAUAUAGAUACAAUCCAAAUUAAAGUACUAUGUUAUUUCUUGCAUCUUACUCAACAAUGGGUUAUAAUUAAUUCCACGUUUUUUUCAAUUCUAACUCUUAUUAAAAGUUUAUAGCAUUAUAGUUAAUUUUUCUUAUUGACACAUUAUACUUUAGAAAAUUCACAUAGUUUAGCAUCUUACUUACAUUUAUUUUUAUUACAACAUUAUGGUUUUCUAUUUUUAUUAUGAUCUUCCAUGUGGUUCAAGAUGCUCUUUUGUUGAGGUAGUAUAUAUGAAUAUUACGCAAGGAAAGGAAAAAAUAUUGAUUUUUGUUGUUCCUUUAGCCAAAUUGUUGUUACUGAUGGAACUUUACGCGGCAAGGCUAUUCCCAGAGUUUUCAUUGUGACUACUAAAUAUGUCUGAUAUUUUUUAUAAUAUGAAUUCAAUUACUUAUUUAAUAUUCAUCAUUUCGUUUGUAUUUAUAUAAAAAUAUUUAAUGUUUACAUCUUGAUAUUCAACUGUUUUUAAUCAACCCGUUGGGUCUCACACCUAGUGCAGAAAAAAAAAUCAAAGAACUAUAAACCAUCUACCUUUCUAUUUCAAAAAACUCCUAAAAUUUAACUAGUACAAAACAAUUAAGCAAAAUCUACAAGUAACUAAUGCGUUGUUUUUUAUUGAUGCUCAAAAUUUCCACUCCUGGCUCAAAAAUAACAAAAAGUAACAUCUUUUUGUCUGUUUUUUUUUUUUUCAUAAUAAUAUUAUAUAUUUUAUAGGGACUUACUAUUGUUUUGCGGAGAUGGAAGGAGUGUUUGAGAGUAAACAAACUACACAUUCAUGGGAUUUCAUUGGUCUUGGAGAAGAAAAAACCAAACCUGCGGAAUUUUCCACAAAGGAGCAAGUUAAGUUGAUUGAUGUCAUUUCUGAUUUUGUAACUAACUAACUAACUCUGUUUUUGGUUUUUGAAAUGAUCAACAUCUUUUAUUUUUUUUGUAAUUAGGAUUUUAUGAUGGGAAAGUUUUAGCAAUUCCGACAUGCCACCCCACCGGAAUGGAAAGGAAUAUGGAAACAUUCAACGCCACAAAUUGCAACAGCUUUUCUUCAAUCAGUUCCAUAUGGGUUUUCUUUAGCUUUUAAGUGGAUAAUCCAAUCCCUAAAUGAAUGUUUUUGUUAAAAUUCAUUUGAUUUAUUUUUAAUAUAAUUAAAAAUGAUGCAGAAAGUGGAACAUUUGAGAGCAAAGAAAAAGUUAUUGCUAUGGUAAUUAAUUAUUAAAGUGGAUAAUCCAAUCCCUAAAAAUUGAACUUUCUUCAUGUGCUUCCCUCGAGGUUAAAAUCCCCCACUUCAACAUCUAGUGUGUGUGUGUGUGUGUGUGUUUAAAACUUGAUAGUAAUCCACUUAGACAGGUAAAUUAGACUUUUUAAAGGGAUAAUAUUGGUCAUUUUUCGUAUGUUAUCUCAUUCUCCUUCAUUUUGUAGAUUCCAUCAGAUGGGUUUGAAGCUCUACUAAAUGGUGUCUGUCUGUGUCUGUGCCUCUGUGGUUACACCACACCACACCACACCAAUAUUGCAUUGCAG
RNAcentral lists this long non-coding RNA (4411 nucleotides) under Lactuca sativa (garden lettuce). RNAcentral's name for it is "long non-coding RNA (LSAT_LNC009668)". The record is from RNAcentral. Lineage: Eukaryota; Viridiplantae; Streptophyta; Magnoliopsida; Asterales; Asteraceae.